This is a long non-coding RNA of Populus euphratica (Euphrates poplar), 142 nucleotides long. RefSeq lists it as uncharacterized. The transcript is spliced from 3 exons. NCBI's taxonomy places the organism in Eukaryota, Viridiplantae, Streptophyta, Magnoliopsida, Malpighiales, Salicaceae. The record is from RefSeq and is a predicted model, not a curated record.
UGUGAUGUGUUAAAGAAGUUUUAAAAUUUUUACCUUUUCAUUGAAUUUUAGAAAUACAAAUUCCGUACAAAUUUGUACUUCUACACCGUGAUCCAAUUAAAAUAUUAAAUCCUUCUUUAUUCUUUGCCAUCUUAUUGUAAAU